Molecule: transfer RNA, 87 nt
Filed under: Blastocatellia bacterium AA13
Lineage: Bacteria; Pseudomonadati; Acidobacteriota; Blastocatellia
Also listed under: 1 other name
Description: tRNA-Leu
Rfam family: tRNA
About the family: Transfer RNA (tRNA) molecules are approximately 80 nucleotides in length. Their secondary structure includes four short double-helical elements and three loops (D, anti-codon, and T loops).
Source: RNAcentral
GGGGAUGUGGCGGAACCGGCAGACGCGAAGGUCUCAAAAACCUUUAAGGGUAACCUUGUGUGGGUUCGAGUCCCACCAUCCCCACCA